Molecule: ribosomal RNA, 500 nt
Filed under: uncultured bacterium
Lineage: Bacteria
Description: partial 16S ribosomal RNA
Rfam family: Bacterial small subunit ribosomal RNA
Source: RNAcentral
AGUGAACGCUGGCGGCAUGCUUUACACAUGCAAGUCGAACGGGGUGGAGGGGCAACUCUCCAUUCAGUGGCGAACGGGUGAGUAAUGCAUCGGAACGUGCCCCGUAGUGGGGGAUAACGCCGCGAAAGCGGCGCUAAUACCGCAUAUGCUCUACGGAGGAAAGUGGGGGAUCCGCAAGGACCUCACGCUAUGGGAGCGGCCGAUGUCCGAUUAGCUUGUUGGUGGGGUAAUGGCCUACCAAGGCGACGAUCGGUAGCUGGUCUGAGAGGAUGAUCAGCCACACUGGGACUGAGACACGGCCCAGACUCCUCCGGGAGGCAGCAGUGGGGAAUUUUGGACAAUGGGGGCAACCCUGAUCCAGCCAUGCCGCGUGCGGGAAGAAGGCCUUCGGGUUGUAAACCGCUUUUAGCCGAGAAGAAAAGGGCACGGAUAACACCCGUGUCUCUUGACGGUACCGGCGGAAUAAGCACCGGCUAACUACGUGCCAGCCGCCGCCGUAA